This 280-nucleotide long non-coding RNA is filed under the name Fukomys damarensis (Damara mole-rat). RNAcentral's name for it is "lncRNA (ENSFDAG00000028501.1)". The record is from RNAcentral. Lineage: Eukaryota; Metazoa; Chordata; Mammalia; Rodentia; Bathyergidae.
GUGAAUUCUAAGGACCAUCCUCCUGUGGCUGUUGAGAAAAAUCCUAAUAGCUCAAAUGCUGGGAAAAUUUCUUUGGCUUGAUGAUAAUGAUGGAGACGACGAGGAUAACAAUACUGGCCAAACAUCAGGCUUUUCCAAACUUCUCAGCAGUUGCAUGGCAAGUUCACACCAUCUUCUGUUGGCAAGAUGUGGCAAACAUUGCAGCUCAGCGCUAAAAAAUGUGUUUUCUAGCAGAGCAUGAGUUUGCCCACCAGAACUGGUGGACAUUGCAAACUUCAGG